Vicia faba (fava bean) is the source of this 240-nucleotide non-coding RNA. Lineage: Eukaryota; Viridiplantae; Streptophyta; Magnoliopsida; Fabales; Fabaceae. The record is from the annotation of a GenBank genome assembly.
AUGGUGUUGCUUCUCGAGGCGUCCACGACCAGAGUGUCAUCUGCAACACAGGUCAUCUUUGAUGAUUAUCGGGAGGCUUACUUUUGGCUUUACCAGAAAUCUCCACCAGAAGCCAAGGUGAUGUCAUGGUUGGAUUAUGGUUAUCAAACCACUUCCAUUGGAAAUAGAACAAUUACUGUUGACAGUAACACAGAGAACAAUACACACAUAACAAUUGUUAGACAUGCAAUGUCAUCUUAG